CCUACGGGUGGCAGCAGUGGGGAAUAUUGCACAAUGGGGGAAACCCUGAUGCAGCGACGCCGCGUGAAGGAAGAAGGAUCUCGGUGUGUAAACUUCUAUCAGCAGGGAAGAAAAUGACGGUACCUGACUAAGAAACUCCGGCUAACUACGUGACAGCAGCCGCGGGAAUACGUAGGGGGCAAGCGUUAUCCGGAUUGACUGGGUGUAAAGGGAGCGUAGGCGGGGAUGCAAGUCAGAAGUGAAAGCCCGGGGCUCAACUCCGGGACUGCUUUUGACAAUGUGUUGCUAGAUUGCAGGAGGGGUAAGUGGAAUUCCUAGUGUAGCGGUGAAAUGCGUAGAUAUUAGGAGGAACACCGGUGGCGAAGGCGGCUGACUGGAGUGUAAAUGACGCUGAGGCUCGAAAGCGUGGGGAGCAAACAGGAUUAGAUACCCGAGUAGUC
RNAcentral lists this ribosomal RNA (440 nucleotides) under uncultured bacterium. RNAcentral describes it as "partial 16S ribosomal RNA". It matches the Rfam family "Bacterial small subunit ribosomal RNA", at positions 338 to 795 of the family's 1533-position model. The record is from RNAcentral.